Long non-coding RNA from Gorilla gorilla gorilla (western lowland gorilla), 1410 nucleotides. RefSeq lists it as uncharacterized. NCBI's taxonomy places the organism in Eukaryota, Metazoa, Chordata, Mammalia, Primates, Hominidae. The record is from RefSeq and is a predicted model, not a curated record. The transcript is spliced from 3 exons.
GUCUUCUGCAUGGCCUCCUGCUUGCUGCUUUCACCAUUGCUGGUGGAUGGCAUCUCUGCUGGGACAGAGGGGCAACUCACACUCCGGCCAGACUGGGCAGCACAGGGCUGAAGAGGAGGAGGAGGAAAAUCCAAUGUGUUUGCCUGGAAGCCCUCAGGGCCCCCAGUGCUGGAGGUGUACAGCAGGUGCUAACGCGGCUUGGCUGUCACCUUCAAUGCAUCACCCGAAGCUGAGAGCCCCCCUUCGUCACUCCUAGCUUGCAGCCUCACAAUUCCAUUUCCCCACCCAAAUACAUCCAUUUUAAUAUGCACAUCACAGGCAGGCAGCACGGUCACAAAGGAGCCCCACCAGCAGCAGUCCCCACGUGGUGGAACGGAUGGAUGACCAGCCACCAGCCUCUGCCUCUUGGCUCCCAGCAGAUGGAUACCCAGCAGAGGCCUGGCACCAGAGUGCCACUGUCUAUGUGUCAGCUGCUUGUACCUCGGAAGCCACCUUCCAGGAGAGUGGUGGCCCGUAUCCGCUUCUGUCCACACCACUCAUACUCCUCAAAGCGGUUGUUGUUCUCAUGCUCGAUGUCCACAGCAUCAUCCUCAGCCAUGCAGGAGCCUUCCCUCUGUGAAGAGCAGAGCAGGAUCAUGCUGGGCCUAGGCCAUCCCCACCUGCUCCCCACAGUCUGCAACGAAGGCACAGCUCUAGCCCCAGCUGUGGUGUGCCAAGUGGGCCCUCAGCUCUAGGGCUCCUUUGAAGCAAACCAAUUUAGAGGUCAAAGGCCUGGGCUGGGCCUCUUCCCAAUAGUUUUCCGCUGGAGCCCAAGGAGGGAAUGAGUGAGAGUGAAAGCAAAGGGAGAGAGCAGUGGAGAGAAGGGAAGAAGCUGCUGAGACCACAUGGAGACCCCAAGAGCCCACAGAUUCAGGGGCAGUCAGCAGCUAGUGUCGGGGGAAGGGAGCGGGGAAGGAAGGUGGGUGGUGAUGGCCCCUCUACCUUAGAAAGGCAAUGCUCCACAUGCCUACUCAUCUCCUGCUCCGAUCCUGCCAGGGGGCGGUUGCACAGGGGACAUACCUGCCCUUCAUCUUGCUUCCUCCGUUUCAUUUUCCCAAUCCGAGCUGCACGGGGAAACCGAAAACAAAGCACAGAACAAGCAGACGGUCACUGCAGCCCCCAGGGUCCCAGUGGAGCUGACACAUCCUGACCUCUUGCCAGCCAUUGGCCUUUUUAUUCAGUGCCUGAUCUGGCCCUCAUCUUGAAAUACCUCCUGCUCCUUUGGGGACUGGGCUUUGCCAAGAGCACCUGGGGAGGAGACUGGUGCUAACUAAGCCAGUGAGUAAGUCCACUCUUUGGUUGCAGCUGGUGCAAGGUCUACCCAUACCUUUCUAUUUGCAGUGUUUAAUAAAAGUCCAAUGAGCAAAGACA